AUGUACCCUGUAGCUUGGGCUCUUGUGGAAAAAGAGAAUACUGACACAUGGAAGUGGUUCAUUGGGCUUCUAAUUAAGGAUUUGGAUAUCAAUGAUCAAGGAGCUGGCUGGGUCUUCAUUUCAGACAAGCAAAAGGUAAAAAAAGCAUAUGUUUCUUAG
This 159-nucleotide ribosomal RNA is filed under the name Triticum aestivum (bread wheat). Its description in RNAcentral is "partial small subunit ribosomal RNA". Lineage: Eukaryota; Viridiplantae; Streptophyta; Magnoliopsida; Poales; Poaceae. The record is from RNAcentral.